CGCCUCUGCAGCUCCAGCUCCCCCUGGCCUCCCGGGAACUACAAGUCCCAGGGGGCCUGGCGGCGGACGGAGGACGGAAGAG
This 82-nucleotide microRNA precursor is filed under the name Otolemur garnettii (small-eared galago). RNAcentral's name for it is "mir-2861 microRNA precursor family". It matches the Rfam family "mir-2861 microRNA precursor family". Lineage: Eukaryota; Metazoa; Chordata; Mammalia; Primates; Galagidae. The record is from Rfam by way of RNAcentral.